RNAcentral lists this ribosomal RNA (253 nucleotides) under uncultured bacterium. RNAcentral describes it as "partial 16S ribosomal RNA". It matches the Rfam family "Bacterial small subunit ribosomal RNA", at positions 524 to 776 of the family's 1533-position model. The record is from RNAcentral.
UACAUGGGGUGCAAACGUUGCUCGGAAUUAUUGGGCGUAAAGCGCGCGCAGGCGGUCCUUUAAGUCUGAUGUGAAAGCCCACGGCUCAACCGUGGAGGGUCAUUGGAAACUGGGGGACUUGAGUGCAGGAGAGAAGAGUGGAAUUCCACGUGUAGCGGUGAAAUGCGUAGAUAUAGGAAGGAACACCAGUGGCGAAGGCGACCACCUGGACUGAUACUGACACUGAGGUGCGAAAGCGUGGGGAGCAAACAGG